Molecule: unclassified non-coding RNA, 333 nt
Filed under: soil metagenome
Description: partial contains 5.8S ribosomal RNA, internal transcribed spacer 2, and large subunit ribosomal RNA
Rfam family: 5.8S ribosomal RNA (bases 1-120)
Source: RNAcentral
GAUGAAGAACGCAGCGAAAUGCGAUAAGUAGUGUGAAUUGCAGAAUUCAGUGAAUCAUCGAAUCUUUGAACGCACAUUGCGCCCCUUGGUAUUCCAUGGGGCAUGCCUGUUCGAGCGUCAUUUGUACCUUCAAGCUCUGCUUGGUGUUGGGUGAUUGUCUAUCUUUGUAGACUCGCCUUAAAGUCAUUGGCAGCCGGCAUAUUGGCCUGGGAGCGCAGCACAAGUCGCGCUUCUUGUCAUGAAUGUUGGCGUCCAGUAAGUCUACAUAUUUUGCUCUUGACCUCGGAUCAGGUAGGGAUACCCGCUGAACUUAAGCAUAUCAUAAGCGGAGGA